ACGAACGCUGGCGGCAGGCUUAACACAUGCAAGUCGAACGGUCUCUUCGGAGGCAGUGGCAGACGGGUGAGUAACACGUGGGAAUCUACCCAUCUCUACGGAACAACUCCGGGAAACUGGAGCUAAUACCGUAUACGCCCUUUUGGGGAAAGAUUUAUCGGAGAUGGAUGAGCCCGCGUUGGAUUAGCUAGUUGGUGGGGUAAAGGCCUACCAAGGCGACGAUCCAUAGCUGGUCUGAGAGGAUGAUCAGCCACAUUGGGACUGAGACACGGCCCAAACUCCUACGGGAGGCAGCAGUGGGGAAUAUUGGACAAUGGGCGCAAGCCUGAUCCAGCCAUGCCGCGUGAGUGAUGAAGGCCCUAGGGUUGUAAAGCUCUUUCACCGGUGAAGAUAAUGACGGUAACCGGAGAAGAAGCCCCGGCUAACUUCGUGCCAGCAGCCGCGGUAAUACGAAGGGGGCUAGCGUUGUUCGGAAUUACUGGGCGUAAAGCGCACGUAGGCGGAUAUUUAAGUCAGGGGUGAAAUCCCGCAGCUCAACUGCGGAACUGCCUUUGAUACUGGGUAUCUUGAGUAUGGAAGAGGUGAGUGGAAUUCCAGUGAAG
RNAcentral lists this ribosomal RNA (602 nucleotides) under Rhizobium sp. E129. RNAcentral's name for it is "bacterial SSU rRNA". It matches the Rfam family "Bacterial small subunit ribosomal RNA", at positions 29 to 678 of the family's 1533-position model. The record is from RNAcentral. Lineage: Bacteria; Pseudomonadati; Pseudomonadota; Alphaproteobacteria; Hyphomicrobiales; Rhizobiaceae.